AGCAUAUCAAUAAGCGGAGGAAAAGAAACCAACAGGGAUUGCCCCAGUAACGGCGAGUGAAGCGGCAACAGCUCAAAUUUGAAAUCUGGCCCCCAGGGUCCGAGUUGUAAUUUGCAGAGGAUGAUUUUGGCGAGGUGCCUUCCGAGUUCCCUGGAACGGGACGCCACAGAGGGUGAGAGCCCCGUCUGGUUGGACGCCGAGCCUAUGUAAAUCUCCUUCGACGAGUCGAGUAGUUUGGGAAUGCUGCUCUAAAUGGGAGGUAUAUGUCUUCUAAAGCUAAAUAUUGGCCAGAGACCGAUAGCGCACAAGUAGAGUGAUCGAAAGAUGAAAAGCACUUUGAAAAGAGGGUUAAAUAGUACGUGAAAUUGUUGAAAGGGAAGCGCUCAUGACCAGACUUGGGCCCGGUGAAUCAUCCAGCGUUCUCGCUGGUGCACUUUGCCGGGCUCAGGCCAGCAUCAGUUUGCCCCGGGGGAUAAAGGCUUUGGGAAUGUGGCUCCUCCGGGAGUGUUAUAGCCCAUUGCAUAAUAUCCUGGGGCGGACUGAGGUUCGCGCAUCUGCAAGGAUGCUGGCGUAAUGGUCAUCAGCGACCCGUCUUGAAACACGGACCAAGGAGUCGUCUUCGUAUGCGAGUGUUCGGGUGUAAAACCCCUACGCGUAAUGAAAGUGAACGCAGGUGAGAGCUUCGGCGCAUCAUCGACCGAUCCUGAUGUUCUCGGAUGGAUUUGAGUAAGAGCAUACGGGGCCGGACCCGAAAGAAGGUGAACUAUGCCUGUAUAGGGUGAAGCCAGAGGAAACUCUGGUGGAGGCUCGCAGCGGUUCUGACGUGCAAAUCGAUCGUCAAAUAUGGGCAUGGGGGGCGAAAGACUAAUCGAACCUUCUAGUAGCUGGUUUCCGCGA
This 897-nucleotide ribosomal RNA is filed under the name Metapochonia goniodes. RNAcentral's name for it is "LSU rRNA". It matches the Rfam family "Eukaryotic large subunit ribosomal RNA", at positions 37 to 963 of the family's 3401-position model. Lineage: Eukaryota; Fungi; Ascomycota; Sordariomycetes; Hypocreales; Clavicipitaceae. The record is from RNAcentral.